RNAcentral lists this ribosomal RNA (446 nucleotides) under uncultured bacterium. RNAcentral describes it as "partial 16S ribosomal RNA". It matches the Rfam family "Bacterial small subunit ribosomal RNA", at positions 338 to 795 of the family's 1533-position model. The record is from RNAcentral.
CCUACGGGGUGCUGCAGUCGAGAAUCAUUCACAAUGGGGGAAACCCUGAUGGUGCGACGCCGCGUGGGGGAAUGAAGGUCUUCGGAUUGUAAACCCCUGUCAUGUGGGAGCAAAUUAAAAAGAUAGUACCACAAGAGGAAGAGACGGCUAACUCUGUGCCAGCAGCCGCGGUAAUACAGAGGUCUCAAGCGUUGUUCGGAAUCACUGGGCGUAAAGCGUGCGUAGGCUGUUUCGUAAGUCGUGUGUGAAAGGUGCGGGCUCAACCCGCGGACGGCACAUGAUACUGCGAGACUAGAGUAAUGGAGGGGGAACCGGAAUUCUCGGUGUAGCAGUGAAAUGCGUAGAUAUCGAGAGGAACACUCGUGGCGAAGGCGGGUUCCUGGACAUUAACUGACGCUGAGGCACGAAGGCCAGGGGAGCGAAAGGGAUUAGAUACCCUAGUAGUC